UACGAGGGGGGCAAGCGUUGUUCGGAAUUAUUGGGCGUAAAGGGUGCGUAGGCGGUUUUGUAAGUCUUGUGUGAAAUCUUCAGGCUCAACUUGAAGACUGCACGAGAAACUGCAGGGCUUGAGUGUGGGAGAGGUGAGUGGAAUUCCUGGUGUAGCGGUGAAAUGCGUAGAUAUCAGGAGGAAAACCUGUGGCGAAAGCGGCUCACUGGACCACAACUGACGCUGAUGCACGAAAGCUAGGGGAGCAAACAGG
RNAcentral lists this ribosomal RNA (253 nucleotides) under uncultured bacterium. RNAcentral describes it as "partial 16S ribosomal RNA". It matches the Rfam family "Bacterial small subunit ribosomal RNA", at positions 524 to 776 of the family's 1533-position model. The record is from RNAcentral.